GGAGAGGUGGCUGAGUGGUUGAAAGCGGCAGUCUUGAAAACUGUUUAGGGAGUCUCUCCCUACGUGAGUUCGAAUCUCACCCUCUCCG
Molecule: transfer RNA, 88 nt
Filed under: Candidatus Omnitrophota bacterium
Lineage: Bacteria; Pseudomonadati; Candidatus Omnitrophota
Description: Candidatus Omnitrophica bacterium tRNA-Ser
Rfam family: tRNA
About the family: Transfer RNA (tRNA) molecules are approximately 80 nucleotides in length. Their secondary structure includes four short double-helical elements and three loops (D, anti-codon, and T loops).
Source: RNAcentral